RNAcentral lists this ribosomal RNA (497 nucleotides) under uncultured bacterium. RNAcentral describes it as "partial 16S ribosomal RNA". It matches the Rfam family "Bacterial small subunit ribosomal RNA", at positions 28 to 507 of the family's 1533-position model. The record is from RNAcentral.
GAUGAACGCUGGCGGCGUGCCUAAUACAUGCAAGUCGAGCGAACGGACGAGAAGCUUGCUUCUCUGAUGUUAGCGGCGGACGGGUGAGUAACACGUGGAUAACCUACCUAUAAGACUGGGAUAACUUCGGGAAACCGGAGCUAAUACCGGAUAUUAUUUUGAACCGCAUGGUUCAAAAGUGAAAGACGGUCUUGCUGUCACUUAUAGAUGGAUCCGCGCUGCAUUAGCUAGUUGGUAAGGUAACGGCUUACCAAGGCAACGAUGCAUAGCUGACCUGAGAGGGUGAUCGGCCACACUGGAACUGAGACACGGUCCAGACUCCUACGGGAGGCAGCAGUAGGGAAUCUUCCGCAAUGGGCGAAAGCCUGACGGAGCAACGCCGCGUGAGUGAUGAAGGUCUUCGGAUCGUAAAACUCUGUUAUUAGGGAAGAACAUAUGUGUAAGUAACUGUGCACAUCUUGACGGUACCUAAUCAGAAAGCCACGGCUAACUACGUG